RNAcentral lists this ribosomal RNA (468 nucleotides) under uncultured bacterium. RNAcentral's name for it is "partial 16S ribosomal RNA". It matches the Rfam family "Bacterial small subunit ribosomal RNA", at positions 28 to 507 of the family's 1533-position model. The record is from RNAcentral.
GACGAACGCUGGCGGCGUGCUUAACACAUGCAAGUCGAACGGAAAGGCCCUGCUUUUGUGGGUUUCUCGAGUGGCGAACGGGUGAGUAACACGUGAGUAACCUGCCCUUGACUUUGGGAUAACUUCAGGAAACUGGGGCUAAUACCGGAUAGGAGCUCCUGCUGCAUGGUGGGGGUUGGAAAGUUUCGGCGGUUGGGGAUGUACUCGCGGCUUAUCAGCUUGUUGGUGGGGUAGUGGCUUACCAAGGCUUUGACGGGUAGCCGGCCUGAGAGGGUGACCGGCGACAUUGGGACUGAGAUACGGCCCAGAAUGCAACGGGAGGCAGCAGUGGGGAAUAUUGCACAAUGGGCGGAAGCCUGAUGCAGAAACGCGGCGUGCGGGAUGAAGGCCUUCGGGUUGUAAACAGAUUUAGCAUGUGACGAAGAGUGAGUGACGGUAAUGGGUAAAGAAGCACCGGCUAACUACGUG